Molecule: ribosomal RNA, 710 nt
Filed under: Systoloneura geometropis
Lineage: Eukaryota; Metazoa; Arthropoda; Insecta; Lepidoptera; Gracillariidae
Description: SSU rRNA
Rfam family: Eukaryotic small subunit ribosomal RNA
Source: RNAcentral
CGGGACUCUUAUGAGGCCUCGUAAUCGGAAUGAGUACACUUUAAAUAUUUUAACGAGGAACAAUUGGAGGGCAAGUCUGGUGCCAGCAGCCGCGGUAAUUCCAGCUCCAAUAGCGUAUACUAAAAUUGUUGCGGUUAAAAAGCUCGUAGUUGCAUUUGUGUGUCGCGCUGUCGGUGCACCGCAUCCGCGGUGAUACUGACACGUCUGCGGAACAUAUCGCCGGUGAGGCGCCGGUCAAACGGCGUUUCAAUAUCAAAAUCCUAUCGCGGUGCUCUUCAGUGAGUGUCGAGAUGGGCCGGCAAUUUUACUUUGAACAAAUUAGAGUGCUCAAAGCGGGCUCAAAAUGCUGCUUGAAUAUUUCGUGCAUGGAAUAAUAGAAUAUGAUCUCGGUUCUAUUUUGUUGGUUUUCAGAACUCCGAGGUAAUGAUUAAUAGGGAUAACUGGGGGCAUUCGUAUUGCGACGUUAGAGGUGAAAUUCUUGGAUCGUCGCAAGACGAACAUCAGCGAAAGCAUUUGCCAAAGGUGUUUUCAUCAAUCAAGAACGAAAGUUAGAGGUUCGAAGGCGAUUAGAUACCGCCCUAGUUCUAACCGUAAAUAUGUCAUCUAGCGAUCCGCCGACGUUAAUACAAUGGCUCGGCGGGCAGCUUCCGGGAAACCAAAGAUUUUGGACUCCGGGGGGAGUAUGGUUGCAAAGCUGAAACUUAAAGGAA